AGAUGAUGUUGUCUGUCUAUUGUAAUGAAGCAACGACAGUAGCAACUCCCACGGCAACUGAGCAGAUAACGACUACACCAUCAGUCGUACCGCCCACGACGUAUUCCCCUACCACGCAGGGGACGUCGGCUGAACCUGUGUCCUCACCAACAUCCCAGAUCGUCACCACAGAGCCGUUGUCGUCGCCAACAUCGUUGGCCGUUCCAACUGAACUACCCGACACUCCUUUGCCAGUAACAGAAGAUACUCAUUUGGCCGUUUGUCCCAAGUCCUCCAUACCAG
Haliotis rubra (blacklip abalone) is the source of this 282-nucleotide long non-coding RNA. RefSeq lists it as uncharacterized. The transcript has 3 exons. The record is from RefSeq and is a predicted model, not a curated record. NCBI's taxonomy places the organism in Eukaryota, Metazoa, Mollusca, Gastropoda, Lepetellida, Haliotidae.